RNAcentral lists this ribosomal RNA (253 nucleotides) under uncultured bacterium. RNAcentral's name for it is "partial 16S ribosomal RNA". It matches the Rfam family "Bacterial small subunit ribosomal RNA", at positions 524 to 776 of the family's 1533-position model. The record is from RNAcentral.
UACGGAGGGAGCUAGCGUUGUUCGGAAUUACUGGGCGUAAAGCGCGCGUAGGCGGCUUUGUAAGUUAGAGGUGAAAGCCCGGGGCUCAACCCCGGAACUGCUUUCGAAACUGCCAAGCUAGAGUGCGGAAGAGGCAACUGGAAUUCCCAGUGUAGCGGUGAAAUGCGUAGAUAUUGGGAAGAACACCGGAGGCGAAGGCGGGUUGCUGGGCCGACACUGACGCUGAUGCGCGAAAGCCAGGGGAGCGAACGGG